RNAcentral lists this transfer RNA (75 nucleotides) under Vibrio casei. RNAcentral describes it as "tRNA-Gly". It matches the Rfam family "tRNA". Rfam says of the family: Transfer RNA (tRNA) molecules are approximately 80 nucleotides in length. Lineage: Bacteria; Pseudomonadati; Pseudomonadota; Gammaproteobacteria; Vibrionales; Vibrionaceae. The record is from RNAcentral. RNAcentral also lists the same sequence under 1 other name.
GCGUGCGUCGUAUAAUGGCUAUUACCUCAGCCUUCCAAGCUGAUGACGCGGGUUCGAUUCCCGCCGCACGCUCCA